Long non-coding RNA from Carassius gibelio (silver crucian carp), 1516 nucleotides. RefSeq lists it as uncharacterized. The transcript has 2 exons. Lineage: Eukaryota; Metazoa; Chordata; Actinopteri; Cypriniformes; Cyprinidae. The record is from RefSeq and is a predicted model, not a curated record.
AGUCAUGUGAAGUACACGAUUUUUGCACACAUGCGGGUUGUUGAAUAACCAACACCCCUCGAUCUGACGCAAGUCUUGUAGCUAGGCUCCACAUAACGCUGGGUAAAUUGUGCCAUUAAAGUUCUGGCUCUGGCGUUGCUCAACCCCUCUUUCAGCACCCAAAAGUGAUUUUAGUCGGCGUUAAUCGUAAGGACUGCAUUUAAAAGGACCACGAGAGUCCCAAAAGAAAGUGUGCGAUGGCUUCGACUCCCUCCGCUUCUGCCCUGUCAGCUGUUCUCCGGUGUCAGGGGAAUAUCCUCGCCCGAAAACAGGCGAGCAAGAAGCGGCCUCCCGCCUCAGUGUACGGGCUCGGGAUGACAUGUGGAGGAGACUCGGUCAAAUCUUAUUUUCGCUCUCUUUGGGGAUUCAUAUUUCACAGGGAGCGAGUGGAGAUUCCCGGAGUUUUGACCAUUUCAGCGCGAUUUGAAACGGGUUGUUCGGGUAAAUCUUCGAGAGGAAAUAGUGAAUCCAAAGAUCUUCUGGUCAAAAGCUCCCUAAAGACUGACAACAAAAUGUUAACCAUGAAAGUAUCAAGUGAACCAAAUCAACGGCCAAAGACGAAACUGACGUCGGAUAAUACUUUUGCUUUUAAAUCCCAACGUUACAGUGUUUUAUCCAACAACAGCCUGGUUCUUCGACUGGAUGGCACUUAUUUACGAAAACUAAACUCAGAUUAUCCAUGCACUUGCUGUAUUUGUAUAGUUUGCGCUCGGAGUAAGAGCACGCUAAACUACAGUAAUGUGAAUCCAUUGUUUUCUCUUGGCUUUUUGUGGAUUUUAAAAUAUAAACUUAUAUAUUUAUCAACCACAGUGUCAGACAGUGUGCGGAAACUUGGAAUUGGCUGGAACCAGCUUCAUCCGGAUUGUGAUAAGUUUAGUGGAUGUGUCAAAUGUACUUCUGAACAUCACAAGGAUCGACCUAAGACACUGGAAGGAGCUGAACCUGGGGAAUGAGUUGUCUUCUAGAGACUGUGGAUGGCAUGCACUUCACACAAAUGCACUUUCAUAGAUAGAUAGAAUGACUGAUUGAUAGACAGAAAUAUAGAUAUAUGUGAAUGUAUAGAAUGUCAGUAAUUGUAGUCUUAUGUUCUUUCAUGUGCUGUCUUGUUCACUUCAGCUUUAUGGGAUGUAUUGUAUUGUUUUGUACACUGUCUACUUGAUUUUGCACUGUUAUUGCCAGCCAAAUUUUCCCUUUGGAUUAAGAAACUAUUAUUACUAUACAAACUGCUGACCAUCUUCAGCUUUUCUAAUCUGGUAAAAAAAAGUAAGAAUAAGAAUGUUGUUAAGUGAACAGAAAUCUGAUGCUGAAAUAGCUACUGGUUUGACUUUGUUUAUUAUUAAAUAGGCCACAUAAUACUGCUUCAUUAAAAAACAUCAAGAAUGUGUGUUUUUUAUAUUAAUUGUAUAAUCUUACAAAAAAUCUUGAAUCUUGAGAUUUGAAUCUGACUCAAUAAAAUAAAAACUUCCAUUACUUUUUA